This 255-nucleotide long non-coding RNA is filed under the name Ananas comosus (pineapple). RNAcentral describes it as "long non-coding RNA (ACOM_LNC035733)". Lineage: Eukaryota; Viridiplantae; Streptophyta; Magnoliopsida; Poales; Bromeliaceae. The record is from RNAcentral.
AUAGAUCUAGCUCACAGUCUGCGUUUAGGAUGGUAUAGCCAUCCAAUCCCCACAUGGAGGGGAUUGUCGUCGAGUACUCCGGAGUGUCGCGCGACUAGGACCACUUGGAGGUCCGGACCACAUGGAGGUCCGCAGACGGUCCUGGGCUUGGGUGCACUUGGAGCUCCCUCCCCACUUUGGGAUUUGAAGGUGAGUCAUAGGCGAGCCCUAGGGCCUCGCCACAGAUUGGGUAAAUGAAAAAGGUUAAAGGUUUAU